CAAAUGGAGAGUUUGAUCCUGGCUCAGGAUGAACGCUGGCGGCAUGCCUAAUACAUGCAAGUCGAACGGAACUUACUUGUUAAGUUCAGUGGCGAACGGG
This 100-nucleotide ribosomal RNA is filed under the name Erysipelotrichaceae bacterium RD49. RNAcentral describes it as "Bacterial small subunit ribosomal RNA". It matches the Rfam family "Bacterial small subunit ribosomal RNA", at positions 1 to 106 of the family's 1533-position model. The record is from Rfam by way of RNAcentral. Lineage: Bacteria; Bacillati; Bacillota; Erysipelotrichia; Erysipelotrichales; Erysipelotrichaceae.